Molecule: ribosomal RNA, 132 nt
Filed under: Escherichia coli
Lineage: Bacteria; Pseudomonadati; Pseudomonadota; Gammaproteobacteria; Enterobacterales; Enterobacteriaceae
Also listed under: 1 other name
Description: partial 16S ribosomal RNA
Rfam family: Bacterial small subunit ribosomal RNA
Source: RNAcentral
AAAUUGAAGAGUUUGAUCAUGGCUCAGAUUGAACGCUGGCGGCAGGCCUAACACAUGCAAGUCGAACGGUAACAGGAAGAAGCUUGCUUCUUUGCUGACGAGUGGCGGACGGGUGAGUAAUGUCUGGGAAAC